CAGCGCUCUGCACCACCAGGAGGACGCGGCUGGGCGGCGGCGCGCCCUGCGGGAGCAGCUGGAGCAAAUGCAUCGGGAGAGGACCGAGCGGCUGCGGGCCCUCGGGGCCAGGAAAUUGGGAUGGCGGUUCUUGUUAAGCUCCCCUAUGCCGCCCAGCAGGAAACCAGUCACCGUGUCCUCGUCUCCGAUCACUGCGAUGAGCUUACCCCUCCCCGCCAUCCCUGCAGCCGGGCAGAGCUCACCCUAGAGCACCAGAAGCCACUGAAACCCCGCCUCCGCCGCACGGCGCCCCGUCGGCCUCAACCCCCACCCUUCGAGCAUGCGCAGUCCUCCCAGCCGCAUUCCGGGACAUGCGCAUUAACAGCAACACGGCCUCCAUGUGAAUACGCCUGCGCCGUAAAGACAGGCCCGAACCAGGGGACUACGAUUCCCAGAAGACCGCGCGGCACCACGUCCUUCGCGGGCAUUCAUUCGUUCAUUCACUCGUUCCUUGGUUCAUUCGUUCAACAAGCGCUUUGGACCUGACGCUGUUAGACGCCGAGACCCCAGAGAAGAGACGCAGUUACUCAUCUCAAGGGCAGGAUCUGGGUCUUUAUCGUGUAUGUAUGUGUGUAACUAUGACACAUAGUUCACAAGUAACACACGUUUGUUCAGUUAAAGGAAUGCAAAAGUUAAUGAUGAUACUGCCUAGUGAGGUGGAAAGUCAAGGGAACAGGCGACUACAAAGCUGUGUGUUAAUGGUUAGAAUGUGAAAAGUAUAUGGAAGCACACAUCCAUGGCAACUAACCCAUGGAGAGAGGGGGCGUCCAAAGAACCCUUCCCCAAGAAGCUUGCUUCAGAUCUAAGCUGAGACCUGAAGGACCUGCAGGAUGAAGGGGCUAGAAGUGAGGACAAGACGGUGUUCUAGGCAGAGGAACAGCAUGUGCAAAGGCGUACUGACUAGAGAGCGUAGGGCCUUCAAGGAAAGUUAAAUAAUUGGUAAGGCCAGGCAUGGUGGCUCACGCCACGCC
Molecule: long non-coding RNA, 1010 nt
Filed under: Pan troglodytes (chimpanzee)
Lineage: Eukaryota; Metazoa; Chordata; Mammalia; Primates; Hominidae
Description: long non-coding RNA NONPTRT016371
Source: RNAcentral